UAACUGUCGACUUCUGGGUCAGACCCGCGUUGAACUCCCAUGCGGACCACUCAGCCGCUCGCUGGAGUUGGGGCCCCGAUGGCGAAGUCGCGGUUCGUAGCGCUCAGGUGAGUGCGUUUUGCAUGGCUCAGCGUAAUAUCGAAAAUGUAAUUGAAAAAUACUUUACAAGCAAAUUUUAUCGAAUUUCGAAUUGCCGUACUUGCUCUUUUCAUAGGACCUUUAGCAGAUGCAGACGUCAAGUUCCUGGACUUUCGGUGUAGAAAAAAUUCACCUAAUAAUUAUUACAUAAGGGGAAAGUAUUACCUUUGGUAUGUUGACAUGCAACCAUUCCCAACAGUUUUGAAACGUUUGAUAGUAUUAGGAAGGGUCCAAAAACAAAGACAAUAGACGCUGUACGAG
This is a long non-coding RNA of Hermetia illucens (black soldier fly), 399 nucleotides long. RefSeq lists it as uncharacterized. Lineage: Eukaryota; Metazoa; Arthropoda; Insecta; Diptera; Stratiomyidae. The record is from RefSeq and is a predicted model, not a curated record. The transcript has 3 exons.